UUUUCUUUGCAAACUCCUUUGACUACGAUGACCUGGAUGACUGAGAACCUUCACAGAUUUAUUUCAAUUUAUAUGCAUUUGUUUAAUCCGAACAAGGAGAUUUAGAAUCAAAGUCAGAGUCACAAAAAACUCUCGCGAUCAUAAACGCACCGCGGCUCCCAACAUUAAAAACUUCCUGAAAAAAACUCUUUUCUCCAAAACACGCGCAACAAAAAAACCCUAGAAUAACUUGUAGGGAACCCUCUAUACCCAAAGCCUUAUAUUUGAAAAAAGGGGAAAUCCUGAAAAAAUCCUUAGUCUUUUUUCUUCAAACCAGCCCUCUACUAGCUCCGUCUCAAAUUCAGCAAAGUCUAAGUUCUCCUUUCGCUCUGACUCGCAUCGAACCUCUCCCAGAGCAGCAUCUUUUUCCUUCUGUUCGCUCCCCGGCUCAUCCCCGAAUGCUGCUUACCUAGUUUGAAAAUUUGCACCAGAGACCAACUCCGCCUCCCAGGCGUGCCUAACUCGCCCCGCUGCCAAUCACAUAACAAAGGGGCGGCUCCCCUCGCACCCCGGUUAGCCAAUCGGCUGCAGGUCCGAUGGAGGAGAGAUUCAGGCUCAACACCGGUGGGCUUUGGGGCUAUGCUUUCAGCCUUAGAGAGAGCAAAAUCUAUUUCUACCAGCUAAAAGCGGGUGAAGGUUUUGGCCCGCUAACACCGCGGAUCGUCUUUACUUCGUCUGAUUGGGGUGUUUUGAGCCUCAUCGCUACGCCCGAAGUGCAGAAGAGCCUGCGGGACGAGCUCGCAACAACCGCGAACCAGGGAUCAACAACAACUCGCCUCGCUUUCCCUAUGUGCAUAUCAGUUGACUCUGAUUUAAGCCAGAUGUGUUCACCUGAUCCCUGCGAAACACCAGCUCUGCGUGGAUUUUGACCGCGAGUGACCGGAUGUUGUUUCCGGCCUGAGGUUGCCUGAAAUGCCGUCAGGCUCGUUUGAAAGAUUGCGCCCUAGACCAACUCCGCCUCCAAGGCGUGCCUACCUUUAGCUGCCACCAGUGAGAUAUCAGAGCCGGGCUCCACAUAUCCAAUCAGGAGCACGAGCAAGACAGCUUUUGCAGACUCGCCAGAAAUAUACAAAUCCUUACCAACUGCUCUGCAACCCAGUGUUUCUGGUCCCCUCACUAACAUCGCUUUUUGAGAUAUUUUUUUUUAUGAACCACCAAAAAGAGACAUUUUACCCCCCAGUACAGAAGACUGGAUCUGAGGGCAGCAGCAGCGGGGACAAAUGCUUGUAAUGAAGCGACGGACAUUUCAUGGCUGAUCUUAGAUAAUCGUGAGUUAUUGUGUCUUAUGGUGAAAAGUAGUUUUGCAAGAGGCAUGCAAGCACUGUGGAAAAAGUAAUCGUGUGUAAGUCCUCUAAAACUGUUUUUUGUGAACACUUUGCUCCCCACGUUAUGCUUUAAAAAAUUUGAUACAUGUAAUGUGAUCAUCAAAGAACAUGAGUUUUUAAAAAGACUUUUAUUCUUAUGCUUUUAAAACUAUCUCAGAUUAUCAUAAAACACUUAUUUGUAUGUUAUAAUGUUUUUCUUACACCAUGUGUAAUUUUCAUUCACACCUUGUUCAUUGUAUCAAUGUGUAAUUAUGUAUCUUUGAUAAAUAAAUAAAAUAUUUAAUCUUG
Molecule: long non-coding RNA, 1652 nt
Organism: Oreochromis niloticus (Nile tilapia)
Lineage: Eukaryota; Metazoa; Chordata; Actinopteri; Cichliformes; Cichlidae
Exons: 2
Source: RefSeq, a predicted model, not a curated record